Molecule: transfer RNA, 77 nt
Filed under: Sphingomonas arantia
Lineage: Bacteria; Pseudomonadati; Pseudomonadota; Alphaproteobacteria; Sphingomonadales; Sphingomonadaceae
Also listed under: 1 other name
Description: tRNA-His
Rfam family: tRNA
About the family: Transfer RNA (tRNA) molecules are approximately 80 nucleotides in length. Their secondary structure includes four short double-helical elements and three loops (D, anti-codon, and T loops). Further hydrogen bonds mediate the characteristic L-shaped molecular structure. tRNAs have two regions of fundamental functional importance: the anti-codon, which is responsible for specific mRNA codon recognition, and the 3' end, to which the tRNAs corresponding amino acid is attached (by aminoacyl-tRNA synthetases). tRNAs cope with the degeneracy of the genetic code in two manners: having more than one tRNA (with a specific anti-codon) for a particular amino acid; and 'wobble' base-pairing, i.e. permitting non-standard base-pairing at the 3rd anti-codon position.
Source: RNAcentral
GCGGCCAUAGCUCAAUUGGUUAGAGCGCCGGUUUGUGGUACCGGAGGUUGCGGGUUCAAUCCCCGUUGGCCGCCCCA